CAUCCCCAGCCCUAUUUGGUAUUUUAUUUAGAGACAGGGUCUCACUGAGUUGCGCUUCACGUUACUGAAGCUGGCUUUGAACUUGCGACCCUCCUGUCUCAGCCUCCCUAGCCUCUGGGAUUACAGGCGUGCAUCACUGUGCCCGGCCACUUUUAACAAUUUUGAAAUAACCUCCCCAGGUGAAAAAUAGAAUCUUGCCAGUCACCUCAGAAGUUCUACAACUGUUGCGUCCUGAUCACAAUCCUCUGCUUCCCCCACAAGAAAACCAUCUUAACUUUUUUUUUUCAAACAAGCAUUUUUUGUUAUGCUAUAUAAUACUCUGGUUUUUCCUUAGAUUACAUAAGUCUUUCUCCUUUUAUUAUGGUAUAUAUAAAAUGUCAAAUGCCUUAAUCUUAAAGGUAUAAUUUUGUGUGUUUUGUCAAGUGUGUACCUCUACAGCCAACAAUCAAAAACACCAGCAUUUUUGCAUCCCAGAAGGAGUGCCUCUCUGAUGAAUAUACUUCACCCAUCCCAGGAAGUAGACACUGAUCUACCAUCUGUUAACAUAGAUGUCACACAGUGGUGCACACCAGGAACCCCAGCUACUUCAGAGGCUGAGGCAGAAGCAUUGCAAGUUUGAGGCCAGUCUGGGCAGGGAGAGCCAAAG
RNAcentral lists this long non-coding RNA (646 nucleotides) under Marmota monax (woodchuck). Lineage: Eukaryota; Metazoa; Chordata; Mammalia; Rodentia; Sciuridae. The record is from RNAcentral.